AAAUCGACAUGUGAAGACAAGUAUGAAUUAAUAUGUAAUAUUUUAUAUACUCUUAGGUGUAAGCAUUAAAACGCAGUGCAUGUCUAAUAUGAAAAAAUACAUUUAAAUAAAAUAACCUUUAAAAACGAUUUUUAGAUACCAUUCUGUAGAAGUAUAGCUUUUUUUUAAAUGGCUACCACAAAAUCUUCUUGAAGAACUAUAAUAAAGUUUACUGUACUUAUCACACAGCGGUUGGCAAGGUUUUACUUCUUACCAUAAUAUAAUAAAUGCGAAUGUUUGGAUAGAUGAUUAUUAGCUGUGUCCUGAACGGCCACAUGGAUUUUGCUGAAAUUUGGCAUACAUGUAGAUCAUAGCCUAAAAGAACUUAUAAGCUACUACACUUAGUUUUUUUUUCAUCUCGCACGGACGUAGUCGCAGGCCACAUCUAGUAUGUUAUACGGCGGUUUGAAUAAGAAUUAAGAGUAUUAUUUGCAAGUUUCUGAAAUAUUCUGAAUAAUAAUAAAUUAAAAUAUUCUUCUGUAAUACAUGUUGGUAACAUGUUUUUCAUUCAUCAUAGUUGAGAAAUGCUACAAAACAUCAUGGAAAUCAUUUAAUUUAUCCAACCGUCUUUAGUGAAUGAGCUGCAUCUGCUAUUUUUCAGGAUAGUACAG
Long non-coding RNA from Papilio xuthus (Asian swallowtail), 650 nucleotides. RefSeq lists it as uncharacterized. The record is from RefSeq and is a predicted model, not a curated record. The transcript is spliced from 2 exons. NCBI's taxonomy places the organism in Eukaryota, Metazoa, Arthropoda, Insecta, Lepidoptera, Papilionidae.